Molecule: long non-coding RNA, 575 nt
Organism: Sinocyclocheilus anshuiensis
Lineage: Eukaryota; Metazoa; Chordata; Actinopteri; Cypriniformes; Cyprinidae
Exons: 3
Source: RefSeq, a predicted model, not a curated record
UAAUAAUAAUAAUAAUAAUGCUCUUUACCCAUACAUUUGUUUUUUGUUUUCAGCUGUGACUGUUUCAUAUAGUUUUUCUUCUCUUUGCAGAAUAACAUUCUUGGAAAAAGCAGAAGCCAUCACUGGUCCAUUCUUGGAGAAAGGGAAUCUCUGGACUUUCUUUAUGCUGUGCAGUGAGCUGGUCAGUGAUGUAAUGUUCCUGGUGUGCAAGUUUGCUCCACAAAAGAAAGUGGUCCAGGAAAUAUAUGAAAAUAAGGAUGUUCAUGAUUCAAUAUCCAAAACUAAAGCCUUCAGGAAGACAUUGCAAAUAUUUCUGGAGACUUUGAGAAGAUAUCUGGCAGGGCGACCUAGGGCCUGGUUUAAAGGGAGCACGUUCAAACUACAGCAGUUUAAUGAUACAUCUACCUUUUGCUGCGAAAACUUCCUGUGUAUUGUACAUGCAUUUAAUUCACUGGAUUUGUUCGUAAUUGUAUAAAAAAGGAAAGAAGUCAUAAUUAUACUUGAUUAUUUUCAAUCAACAUUUAAUUUUGUUCUUACACAAACAAUCUGUACAACAGACAUUGAAUGAAACAACA